Molecule: long non-coding RNA, 478 nt
Organism: Dreissena polymorpha
Lineage: Eukaryota; Metazoa; Mollusca; Bivalvia; Myida; Dreissenidae
Exons: 3
Source: RefSeq, a predicted model, not a curated record
CUAAAAACAAAAUCUUCAUUUAUUUGAAGACACAAUUCUCUGUACGGGCACUUGCCAUGACUUUAUUUUUGAAUAUUUCUGUGUUCAUGUGGUAGGGAAAACAUUGUUGUAUACUACAAAUUCCCUGUUUUGCUUUUAGGUUGGAGACUACAUAAGACUUUGACAGUUGGCGGGAAACCAUCAUCAACUGGAGAGAUGCCGGUAAAAAGAUGGCCAUAAAACAGUGACCGCUGAUUCGCAUUGAGUUCUUUCUUACAUAUUGGAUGACCUAUGUUUUUUAUUGUUUAAAUCAUUGCGGCUUGGAAUGCUCUUUAAGAAAAGGUAGAGGAAUGUCUGCGACUAAGUCAUGGGCCACUGGAUAAGGGUUGUUGAUGGCAAAACAGGUUGGAGACUACAUAAGACUUUGACAGUUGGCGGGAAACCAUCAUCAACUGGAGAGAUGCCGGUAAAAAGAUGGCCAUAAAACAGUGACCGCUGA